AUGGAAGCAGCGAUAGAUGUUGAUGAUGACGGGGACACAGACGCGGAUGAAUCAGAGGAGGAGGACAAGGAUGAGGAUGACAAUGAAGAAGAUGCAGAGGAGGAGGAGGAGGAGGAGGACAAGCAAGAAGAGGACAAAGGAGAGGAGGAGGAGGAGGAAGAAGAUAGUGAGGCAGGGGAGGAGGAAGAAGAAGGUGAGGCCGAAGAGGGGGGCGGGGACAAAGGCGCAACAGUUGAUGGCAAUGAGAGGGGAGAAGACAAAGGCGCAACAGUUGAUGGCAGUGAGAGGGAAGAAGACCACGAUGAAGAAGACGAGGACGGUUAUGGUGAUGAUGUUGGGGGAUCCAAUGGAGGUAGCGACAGAUGCGAUGAUGACGAUGAUGACAACGCCCCUGGUUCUGGUGGUACAUGUGGCAACACAUCCAGGAGGACUAGCACUUCUGCCACCCCUGCCAGCAGUAGCAAUUCAUUGAGUAGCAGGAGCACACUACAGAUGUUAAUCGACAAAACUUGCUGGAAAGACAAGGAUUUGCCGAAGUCAAAGAAAAAUGACGAAGCAGAGUCUCAAGGCAGCAUUGAUAUGUUCAAACUCUGUAACUUGAAGCCAGCUUUGGCAACCACCUUUCCUAUUCCAGAUUUUAGCAACCAAGAUAUGUGUGAGAAGAUCAACUUUGCCAUUGACAAGAGCCUGUUCUUAUCAAGUGUUGCUGUAAAGAAUCAAGUUGACAUGGAGGAAGCAGGAAAAGGUCUUGAUUGGGUUCAUUCAAAGGAAAAAUAUAAGGAAUAUUUGAAGCAGCUUCCAGACCUAAGCUCUGGCAAGAGUAAGGCAGAAUCCAUGGCAAACCCUCACGUGGUCCAGAAGCAUAAAGCAGUUUCAAUGAAGAAGAAUCUGCAGUUGCCUCAAACCAAGGAGAAGAUGGUGAGUGCAGAUGCUGAAGUAAAUAUGGUCAAGGAAGUUGUGCUUCAAACUGAUACACCAACUGUAGUGAGCAGAGAGCCAACCACCAUCACAGGAGUUCAACAGAUCAAGGGGAAGACUCCCCUUUCAACAGUCCCACCAAAACCACCUAAGCAGCAAAAGAUUGUCAAGUUUGCUAGGGGCACAAAGGGGGAACAGGCCAAGGUUUGGGGUUUAGAGACGAGAGAGAACUGCGAGCCGAAGCCAUUGAUGUAG
Molecule: ribosomal RNA, 1173 nt
Filed under: Triticum aestivum (bread wheat)
Lineage: Eukaryota; Viridiplantae; Streptophyta; Magnoliopsida; Poales; Poaceae
Description: partial small subunit ribosomal RNA
Source: RNAcentral